UACGGAGGGUGCAAGCGUUGUUCGGAUUUAUUGGGCGUAAAGGGCGUGUAGGUGGCUUGCCAAGUCUGGUGUGAAAUCCCACGGCUCAACCGUGGAACUGCAUUGGAAACUGGCGAGCUCGAGUGUCGGAGGGGGUCGCGGAAUUCCCGGUGUAGAGGUGAAAUUCGUAGAUAUCGGGAGGAACACCAGUGGCGAAGGCGGCGACCUGGCCGAAUACUGACACUGAGACGCGAAAGCGUGGGUAGCAAACAGG
This 253-nucleotide ribosomal RNA is filed under the name uncultured bacterium. RNAcentral's name for it is "partial 16S ribosomal RNA". It matches the Rfam family "Bacterial small subunit ribosomal RNA", at positions 524 to 776 of the family's 1533-position model. The record is from RNAcentral.